AUUGAACGCUGGCGGAAUGCUUUACACAUGCAAGUCGAACGGCAGCACGGGGGCAACCCUGGUGGCGAGUGGCGAACGGGUGAGUAAUACAUCGGAACGUGCCCGGUCGUGGGGGAUAACGUAGCGAAAGUUACGCUAAUACCGCAUACGAUCUGAGGAUGAAAGCGGGGAACCUCGGGGCCUCGCCCGAUCGGGGGGCCCGAUGUCAGAUUAGGUAGUUGGUGGGGUAAAGGCCUACCAAGCCGACGAUCUGUAGCUGGUCUGAGAGGACGACCAGCCACACUGGGACUGAGACACGGCCCAGACUCCUACGGGAGGCAGCAGUGGGGAAUUUUGGACAAUGGGCGCAAGCCUGAUCCAGCCAUUCCGCGUGCAGGACGAAGGCCUUCGGGUUGUAAACUGCUUUUGUAUGGAACGAAAAGGCUCUGGCUAAUACCUGGGGCUCAUGACGGUACCGUAAGAAUAAGCACCGGCUAACUACGUG
This 484-nucleotide ribosomal RNA is filed under the name uncultured bacterium. RNAcentral describes it as "partial 16S ribosomal RNA". It matches the Rfam family "Bacterial small subunit ribosomal RNA", at positions 30 to 507 of the family's 1533-position model. The record is from RNAcentral.